Molecule: ribosomal RNA, 253 nt
Filed under: uncultured bacterium
Lineage: Bacteria
Description: partial 16S ribosomal RNA
Rfam family: Bacterial small subunit ribosomal RNA
Source: RNAcentral
GACGAACCGUGCAAACGUUGUUCGGAAUCACUGGGCUUAAAGGGCGCGUAGGCGGUCGGUCAAGUCCGGGGUGAAAUCCUGCAGCUCAACUGCAGAAGUGCCUUGGAUACUGACUGGCUCGAGGGAGGUAGGGGUGGGUGGAACUUCUGGUGGAGCGGUGAAAUGCGUUGAUAUCAGAAGGAACGCCGGUGGCGAAAGCGACCCACUGGACCUUUUCUAACGCUGAGGCGCGAAAGCUAGGGGAGCAAACGGG